This is a long non-coding RNA of Suricata suricatta (meerkat), 978 nucleotides long. RefSeq lists it as uncharacterized. The transcript has 4 exons. Lineage: Eukaryota; Metazoa; Chordata; Mammalia; Carnivora; Herpestidae. The record is from RefSeq and is a predicted model, not a curated record.
CUGAAAACAAUGUCAUUCAGAGACCAUUCUUAUUUUGGUUUGUGUGUAUUUUUUCCAGGGAAGCUGGACUUAGGAUCCGUUUCUGCCUCCCCCCGGCAUCGGGCCACAGCCCUGUCUCCGUGCUGCCUGCUCUUCCUGCCAGCCAGGACUUCUGGGUCCGAGCGCUCUGUCUGGGGCUGUUGACGGGCCGUGGGGUUGGUCCCUGGGCCCGCUCUCAGUGUUCCGCAGCCACUAGAGGAUGACUUGGGAUGUAGAAAAUUCUGCACAGGCACCAGCAGUAGUUUGGUGAUCUAUGAUGGACCCUUCUGAGGCCAGGGCAGAGCGAACUGCAGAUGGGAUCCUGAAGCCUGGGAAGAGCCAGAAAGGGUGAGACUUCCUUCCUAAGUCAGCUCUCCCAGAUCUGGCUCUGCAGUGCAAAGAAAGGAAAAGAAACGUUUCUUGUCCCCUUUGCCAACCUGAAAACAGAGCUGCAAUGAGAGGCAGAAUGCGGUUCUGAGAAAGUCAAGAGAAAUGGCAGUGGCAGUCGUUCAUGAGGAGACUGGGGACAGUCCCGUGCAAACACCCUGAGACGGGCCAAGCAGGCAGGACCGUGAGCUGGCAAAGCUUCUAACUGGGAAAGGAAAGCUUCCGUGAUGGAAGCUCCAGACGACUGAGAGACAGCGGGGAAGGCCAGGCGCCAGGAAGGCCUGGGAGGAGCAAGGUGAGCUCAGGGGAAUGGGUAUUCGGAGACUCGGAGGAGCACCGGGACCCCUUCUUUACAGGAACUCCGGAGUGGCUGCUGUUCUGUUGCCUAACAGAGACAUAGCUUCCAAAUUCCGAGUUGAUUUGAGUUCAAAUACUAAUAUUACAUCCACUGAAAGUUUUGAGGAAGAAGGCACCUGGGUAUCUCCGUGGGCUAAGCGUGACUUUGGUUCAGGUCAUGAUCUCAUGUUUCCUGAGUUUGAGCCCGCCAUCGGCCUCUCUGCUGUGAGCACAAUG